UGACCUCAAAUCAGGUAAAAAUACCCCCUG
This 30-nucleotide ribosomal RNA is filed under the name Glomus cerebriforme. RNAcentral describes it as "partial 28S ribosomal RNA". Lineage: Eukaryota; Fungi; Glomeromycota; Glomeromycetes; Glomerales; Glomeraceae. The record is from RNAcentral.